UAUAUACGUAUACAUACAUAUAUAUAUGUAUAUAUAUAUAUAUACAUACAUACAUAUAUUGUUAUUUUGCAUCUGAAUGUAGGGUUCAAAAAACAACAUUUUAUAUAUACAUAUAUAUACAUAUACAUAUACAUAUAUAUAUAUAUAUAUAUCACACGCGCGCGCGUAAUUAGAUAGCGGUAAUAUAAUAAAGCGUGUGUUUAUACAAAUGGUGUGUCAACACUUGCCAAAAUUGCUAUUAUGCUAUUUUGUUCAUUAAAGUAUUUUAUAUCCAGAGCAUGCUGUAUACUACAAAAGUAUUGUUUGCACUGGAGUCCCAUAUAUACAUACCAUAAAGUUAUAGAAAAUCUUCAUGCCAUCACUCUAGCUUAAAAAUCACAAUUCUUUGUACCCAAUUUAACUACAUGCAAUUCACAAUUUUUAAUGUUUCACAAUUCUUUUACCUUUAAUAUAAAAAUUGUUAUAAUUGUAGAAUAAUGUACAAUAUCUACUUAAUACUAUUUGUUACAUAUAUAAUGCAAAAGUGAAAUGACUUCACAUAUUUCAUUAGCAAUAUUUCUUUUUUUUUUCCUUUUCUUUUAACAUAUAUUCGUAGUUUAAUUUUCAUGCAAAAUUUAUAUUGUAUAAAAUUUAAAGUAUAUGUAUUGAAAUUAAUAUUGAAAAUUAUAUACCCAUAAGCUUUGGUUCGAAUUUUAUUACUAAUUGUAAGACUGAAACAUUCGAAUUACUUCUUGUUCAAUGCGUACCUGUGUGUGCUUAGGCGCAAACGCUAAUAAGAGAAUAUUAAUGGUUCACUGUUAUUAACCAUAUAAGUAGAAACGGUAUUUUAAAUGUUUAAAAAAUUCAAAACUAAUAAUUAUAAACGCAUAUAAUAUUGCUCAAAACACAUUUACAGUUUAUUUCUGAGGAAAGAACGUGAUUAAUGUAGCUUAAACAAAAAUUCAUAAAUAUGAUCAAUUUGAGAUCAUUAGUCAAAACCUAAUAGUUGAUAUUUUUUUUAUAGUAGCUAAAAUUACUUCAAAGUCACUGUAUUGCUUUUUUAUAAAUUAAUAUUUACAGUUUCAUGUAAUCGAAAUUUAUAUUUUAAAUGCAAAUGGUAUUGUAUUAAUGGCUGUGCAAAGAUUAUUUCCAUUUACUUUUCAAUGUAUAAUGUGAUCCUCAUAAAAUUAAUGUUGAUAGAAACUUAUGUUUUCAAGUAAUGACUGUACAUCUAGAACACUAAAUAUGGAUAUAGCAAUUCACAUUAGCUAGUUUUAGAAGGUAAUGAAACAUGAUAAUUAUCAUAAUCCUCCUACAUUUUAAGAUCUUAUAUUCCACAUUCACACAGAAUGAGUACUCCAAUCAAACAUUUUACAAUCCUCUUACUAUAAAUUAAUUACAUUAAAAAAAAA
Molecule: long non-coding RNA, 1391 nt
Organism: Megachile rotundata (alfalfa leafcutting bee)
Lineage: Eukaryota; Metazoa; Arthropoda; Insecta; Hymenoptera; Megachilidae
Source: RefSeq, a predicted model, not a curated record